GCGUACGCCGGUCGAUGACCACACACCGAGUACUCUCUCAUCAAAGCCGCAGAACUACCCAAGCAGCCGCUUCACUAUAAAGGCCCAAGGCAGCGGCGGGUCGAUCACCGCGAAGCAUCUCGAAUCCCAACGACGAAGGGGUUGCCUGCCUCGCACUCGGUCCCCUCGCCCUCCUCCCCCUCUCCGCCUCUAAACCCUGAACGAAGGAAGAAUUAGGGCUCCAAGAAUGAGCACCAUCGUCUCGCGUCUGAUCCAUUCGCCCUCUUCCGUCUCUCGCCCGCUUUCCUCAGGUUUGUUGAACUAUGGAAGAUUGUUGUCAACCGAGUCAAAUCGUGUAGAUGAGCCUCUUAAAGUGGAGGAAGCAGAAACGGUAAAAGCACCUCCUCCUCCAUCAGAGAAGCUCCUUGUAUUGGGUGGUAAUGGAUUUGUUGGCUCACAUGUUUGCAAAGAGGCUUUGGAUCAAGGCUUGUCUGUUUCUAGUCUUAGCAGAUCUGGAAGGUCAUCAAUACGUGAAUCUUGGGCUGAUAAAGUUGAAUGGCUACAAGGAAGUCUUCUCGUACCUGAAUCUUGGAAGGAUGUUAUGAAUGACGUGACUGCUGUGAUAUCUUGUGUUGGAGGCUUUGGAUCAAAUUCUUAUAUGUACAAGAUCAAUGGGACUUCAAACAUCAAUGCCAUCAGAGCUGCUGCCGAAAAAGGUGUAAAAAGAUUUGUUUAUAUUUCGGCUGCUGAUUUUGGUCUGGUAAAUUAUCUUCUGCAAGGGUAUUACGAGGGAAAGAGAGCUGCUGAAGCAGAACUUUUGACAAAGUUUACAUAUGGAGGGGUAAUUCUCCGGCCAGGUUUUAUAUAUGGGACUCGCCAAGUUGGGAGUAUGAAGAUACCUCUAGGACUCAUCGGCUCACCGUUGGAGAUGGUGCUCCAGCAUGCCAAACCACUCAAUCGCCUCCCACUUGUUGGUCCUCUCUUAACACCUCCAGUGAAUGUUACCGCCGUUGCGAAGGUAGCAGUAAGAGCUGCAAAUGAUCCAGUAUUUCCUCCAGGCAUAGUGGACGUACAUGGCAUUCUGCGUUACAGUGAACGAAAGUAACCUGUUUCCUCCUCUUAUUCUGUGGGUUCCAAUUUACUUUGGUCUUCUUCCACAUAAAGAUACUUGUUCUGUCGGAAUAAGUUCUUUACACUGGCUGAGCAUUUGCUCGUGCAGUUUUAGUUAUAGAAGCCAUCACUUCCUGUAGAGCAUGCUUGGGACACUCAGCUUGGGAAGCUGUUCUUUGAUCUCAGCAAACAAAGAUGGAGCUAAAGCUAGUGAAAAGAAAGUUAACUGCAGUGUCAUCAGGCACCGAGACUGCAAGGCAGAGGGCAUUUGAACGGACGCAUAAAGAGCCGGUUCACAUGAGAAGGCAGAAACGGAGAAGAUGAUAUAGGUGGAUACAAGACCAAACAAAACAAAGCAUCCAUCAAAUAUUCUCAAUGCUUUCCCCAUUUUUUUAUCUCCUUGAGGGCCAGGAUGAGAGCCAAAGAUUUUACGUCUUACUAACACAAUUUCAUGUUUCCUUUUGAGACCAUACAGCAAGCUUACAGAACACCCUGCAUUAACAUAUCAUUGUUAGAGAUGCUAAAAGCUUCACCGAGUCCAAUAGCUAGGCAGAUAUCAAACACUUACCAUUGCCUUGUACUGGAGAUGACAAGGUAUAUCUAUCUUCUCAAAAUGGAGCAGAUUCCUCCUC
This is an RNA transcript of Musa acuminata AAA Group (dessert banana), 1721 nucleotides long. RefSeq lists it as uncharacterized. The record is from RefSeq and is a predicted model, not a curated record. NCBI's taxonomy places the organism in Eukaryota, Viridiplantae, Streptophyta, Magnoliopsida, Zingiberales, Musaceae. The transcript has 12 exons.